GUUGGAGUAGCUUAGUUGGUUAGAGUGUGUGACUGUUAACUAUAAUGUCAAAGGUUCAAGCCCGUUUUAUAAUG
RNAcentral lists this transfer RNA (74 nucleotides) under Ipomoea nil (Japanese morning glory). It matches the Rfam family "tRNA". Rfam says of the family: Transfer RNA (tRNA) molecules are approximately 80 nucleotides in length. The record is from Rfam by way of RNAcentral. Lineage: Eukaryota; Viridiplantae; Streptophyta; Magnoliopsida; Solanales; Convolvulaceae.